This 164-nucleotide ribosomal RNA is filed under the name uncultured bacterium. Its description in RNAcentral is "partial 16S rRNA". It matches the Rfam family "Bacterial small subunit ribosomal RNA", at positions 355 to 511 of the family's 1533-position model. The record is from RNAcentral.
UAGGGAAUCUUCCACAAUGGGCGCAAGCCUGAUGGAGCAACGCCGCGUGAGUGAAGAAGGUCUUCGGAUCGUAAAACUCUGUUGUUAGAGAAGAACACGAGUGAGAGUAACUGUUCAUUCGAUGACGGUAUCUAACCAGCAAGUCACGGCUAACUACGUGCCAU